RNAcentral lists this ribosomal RNA (490 nucleotides) under uncultured bacterium. RNAcentral's name for it is "bacterial SSU rRNA". It matches the Rfam family "Bacterial small subunit ribosomal RNA", at positions 28 to 515 of the family's 1533-position model. The record is from RNAcentral.
GAUGAACGCUAGCGGCAGGCUUAAUACAUGCAAGUCGAGGGGCAGCACGAAUAGCAAUAUUUGGUGGCGACCGGCGCACGGGUGCGUAACACGUAUACAAUCUACCUUCAACAGGGGGAUAGCCUUUCGAAAGAGAGAUUAAUACCCCGUAAUAUAUUUAGUGGCAUCAUUAGAUAUUGAAAGUUCCGACGGUUGAAGAUGAGUAUGCGUCUGAUUAGCUAGUUGGUGAGGUAAUGGCUCACCAAGGCUACGAUCAGUAGGGGAUCUGAGAGGACUAACCCCCANACUGGUACUGAGACACGGACCAGACUCCUACGGGAGGCAGCAGUAAGGAAUAUUGGUCAAUGGAGGCAACUCUGAACCAGCCAUGCCGCGUGCAGGAUGAAGGCCCUAUGGGUCGUAAACUGCUUUUACACAAGAGAAACCCGGUACGUGUACCGGAUUGAUAGUAUUGCAGGAACUAAGCAUCGGCUAACUUCGUGCCAGCACG